CCUACGGGAGGCAGCAGUGGGGAAUAUUGGGCAAUGGAGGCAACUCUGACCCAGCAAUGCCGCGUGAGUGAUGAAGGUAAUUUUAUUGUAAAGCUCUUUUCUUUGGAACGAAUAAAUGACGGUACCAAAGGAAUAAGCCCCGGCUAACUACGUGCCAGCAGCCGCAGUAAUACGUAGGGGGCCAGCGUUGUUCGGGAUGCUUGGGCGUAAAGGGUGUGUAGGUGUUCUGAUAAGUUGUAUGUGUAAUCCCCAGGGCUUAACUCGGGUGGUGGAUCGACAACUGUUUACAUUGAGUACUGGAGAGGAUAGUGGAAUUCGUAGGGUAGCGGUGGAAUGCGUAGAUAUUAGGAGGAACAUCAGUGGCGAAGGCGAGUAUCUGGACAGCAACUGACACUGAGGCACGAAAGCGUGGGGAGCAAACAGGAUUAGAUACCCCUGUAGUC
This 443-nucleotide ribosomal RNA is filed under the name uncultured bacterium. Its description in RNAcentral is "partial 16S ribosomal RNA". It matches the Rfam family "Bacterial small subunit ribosomal RNA", at positions 338 to 795 of the family's 1533-position model. The record is from RNAcentral.